Molecule: long non-coding RNA, 1677 nt
Filed under: Rattus norvegicus (Norway rat)
Lineage: Eukaryota; Metazoa; Chordata; Mammalia; Rodentia; Muridae
Description: long non-coding RNA NONRATT006386
Source: RNAcentral
GUGAUCAAUGUGGUAAAGCCUUUACAUCUCAUAGUUAUCUCCAAGUACAUAAAAGAAUACAUACUGGAGAGAAGCUCUAUGAAUGUGAUCAAUGUGGUAAAGCCUUUACAUCUCAUAGUUAUCUCCAAGUACAUAAAAGAAUACAUACUGGAGAGAAGCCCUAUGUAUGUGAUCAAUGUGGUAAAGCCUUUGCUCGACUCAGUUAUCUCAAAACGCAUGGAAUAACACAUACUGGAGAGAAACCUUACAAGUGUGAUCAAUGUGGUAAAGCCUUUGAACAUCGUUGUAAUCUUGGAAGUCAUAAAUUAAUACAUACUGGAGAGAAACCUUACAAAUGUGAUCAAUGUGGUAAAGCCUUUCAUCUCAUAGUUAUCUCCAAGUACAUAAAAGAAUACAUACUGGAGAGAAGCUCUGUGAAUGUGAUCAAUGUGGUAAAGCCUUUUCAUCUCAUAGUUAUCUCCAAGUACAUAAAAGAAUACAUACUGGAGAGAAUCUCUAUGAAUGUGAUCAAUGUGGUAAAGCCUUUGCAUCUCAUAGUUAUCUCCAAGUACAUAAAAGAAUACAUACUGGAGAGAAUCUCUAUGAAUGUGAUCAGUGUAGUAAAGCCUUUGCAUCUCAUAGUUAUCUCCAAGUACAUAAAAGAAUACACACUGGAGAGAAGCCCUAUGUAUGUGAUUGGUGUAAUAAAGCCUUUGCAUAUCAUAGUUAUCUCCAAGUACAUAAAAGAAUACAUACUGGAGAGAAGCCCUAUGUGUGUGGUCAAUGUGGUAAAGACUUUGUAGUUCCGAGUGAGCUUAAGAGACAUAAAAGAACACAUACUGGAGAGAAACCUUACAAAUGUAAUGAAUGUGAUAAGGCCUUUGUAGGUCAGAAUGAUCUCCAAGUACAUAAAAGAAUACAUACUGGAGAGAAGCCCUAUGUAUGUGAUCAAUGUGGUAAAGACUUUGUAGUUCCGAGUGAGCUUAAAAGACAUAAAAGAAUACAUACUGGAGAGAAACCUUACAAAUGUAAUGAAUGUGGUAAGGCCUUUGUAGGUCAGAAUGAUCUUAAAAAACAUAGAAGAACACAUACUGGAGAGAAACCUUACAAAUGUAAUGAAUGUGGUAAGGCCUUUGUAUUCAAUUUUAAUCUCCGAGCACAUAAAGUAAUACAUACUGGAGAGAAACCUUACAAAUGUAGUGAAUGUGGUAAAGCCUUUGCAUGUAACACUAGUCUCCGAACACAUAAAGCAAUACAUACUGGAGUGAAACCUUUCGAAUGUAAGCAAUGUGGUAAAGCCUUUGCAUGUAACACUAGUCUCCAAACACAUAGAGCAAUACAUACUGGAGUGAAACCUUUCGAAUGUAAGCAAUGUGGUAAAGCCUUUGUAGGUCAGAAUGACCUUAAAAGGCAUGAAAGAAUUCAUACUGGAGAGAAACCUUACGAAUGUAAUGAAUGUGGUAAAGCCUUUUCACAAUCAAGCCAACUCCAACUACAUAAAAGAACACAUACAUACUAAAGAGUAACCCUGUGAAUGUAACCAAUGCAGUAAAGCCUUUACUGUGAUAUUCAAAGGUAUGGUGGUUAAAAUAUACUUGGCCCAUGGCAAGUGGCAUUGUUAUGAGGUAUGGCCCUUUUGGAGUAGAUGUGGCCUUUGAGGAUGUGUGUCACUGUGGGGGAGGGGGUGGUGGUGGUUGG